UAAUACGAAAGGUGCAAGCGUUGUUCGGAUUUACUGGGCGUAAAGAGAGUGUAGGUUGUUUAUUAAGUCGGAUGUGAAAUCCCGGGGCUCAACCCCGGAACUGCAUUCGAUACUGAUAGGCUAGAGUUCGGGAGGGGUAAGCGGAAUUCCGUGUGUAGCAGUGAAAUGCGUAGAUAUACGGAGGAACACCUGAGGCGAAGGCGGCUUACUGGACCGAUACUGACACUGAGACUCGAAAGCGUGGGUAGCAAACAGGAUUAGAUACCCUGGUAGUCCACGCCCUAAACGAUGUCAACUAGCCGUAGCGGGUAUCGACCCCUGCUGUGGCGAAGCUAACGCGAUAAGUUGACCGCCUGGGGAGUACGGUCGCAAGAUUA
This 377-nucleotide ribosomal RNA is filed under the name uncultured Zetaproteobacteria bacterium. Its description in RNAcentral is "bacterial SSU rRNA". It matches the Rfam family "Bacterial small subunit ribosomal RNA", at positions 521 to 896 of the family's 1533-position model. The record is from RNAcentral. Lineage: Bacteria; Pseudomonadati; Pseudomonadota; Candidatius Mariprofundia.